GUGACCUCAAAUCAGGUAGGACUACCCGCUGAACUUAAGCAUAUCAAUAAGCGGAGGAAAAGAAACUAACAAGGAUUCCCCUAGUAACUGCGAGUGAAGCGGGAAAAGCUCAAAUUUAAAAUCUGUCAGUCUUUGGCUGUCCGAGUUGUAAUCUAGAGAAGUGUUAUCUGCGUUGGACCGUGUACAAGUCUCCUGGAAUGGAGCGUCAUAGAGGGUGAGAAUCCCGUCUCUGACACGGACUGCCAGGGCUUUGUGAUGCGCUCUCAAAGAGUCGAGUUGUUUGGGAAUGCAGCUCAAAAUGGGUGGUAAAUUCCAUCUAAAGCUAAAUAUUGGCGAGAGACCGAUAGCGAACAAGUACCGUGAGGGAAAGAUGAAAAGAACUUUGGAAAGAGAGUUAAACAGUACGUGAAAUUGCUGAAAGGGAAACGCUUGAAGUCAGUCGCGUUGUCCAGGGAUCAACCUUGCUUUUGCUUGGUGUACUUUCUGGUUAACGGGUCAGCAUCAAUUUUGAUCAUUGGAAAAAGGUUAGGGGAAUGUGGCAUCUUUGGAUGUGUUAUAGCCCUUGAUUGUAUACAAUGGUUGGGAUUGAGGAACUCAGCACGCCGCAAGGCCGGGUUUAACCACGUACGUGCUAGGAUG
This 639-nucleotide ribosomal RNA is filed under the name Cortinarius aff. caninus F18506. RNAcentral's name for it is "eukaryotic LSU rRNA". It matches the Rfam family "Eukaryotic large subunit ribosomal RNA", at positions 1 to 625 of the family's 3401-position model. The record is from RNAcentral. Lineage: Eukaryota; Fungi; Basidiomycota; Agaricomycetes; Agaricales; Cortinariaceae.